RNAcentral lists this ribosomal RNA (267 nucleotides) under uncultured Prevotella sp. RNAcentral describes it as "partial 16S ribosomal RNA". It matches the Rfam family "Bacterial small subunit ribosomal RNA", at positions 89 to 354 of the family's 1533-position model. The record is from RNAcentral. Lineage: Bacteria; Pseudomonadati; Bacteroidota; Bacteroidia; Bacteroidales; Prevotellaceae.
CGUCGACCGGCGCACGGGUGAGUAACGCGUAUCCGACCUUCCCAUUACUGUGGGAUAACCUGCCGAAAGGCAGACUAAUACCGCAUAGUCUUCGAUGACGGCAUCAGAUUUGAAGUAAAGAUUUAUCGGUAAUGGAUGGGGAUGCGUCUGAUUAGCUUGUUGGCGGGGUAACGGCCCACCAAGGCGACGAUCAGUAGGGGUUCUGAGAGGAAGGUCCCCCACAUUGGAACUGAGACACGGUCCAAACUCCUACGGGAGGCAGCAGGC